GCACCGCCGACCGACCUU
This 18-nucleotide non-coding RNA is filed under the name Arabidopsis thaliana (thale cress). Lineage: Eukaryota; Viridiplantae; Streptophyta; Magnoliopsida; Brassicales; Brassicaceae. The record is from RNAcentral.